AAGGCUCAGUAACACGUAGUUAAUCUAACCUAUGGAUGGGCAUAACCUCGGGAAACUGAGAAUAAUACCCAAUGGACCACAGUGCCUGGAAUGGCCUGUGGUUGAAAUGAUUUAUCGCCGUAGGAUGGGACUGCGGCCUAUCAGCUAGUUGGUGAGGUAAUGGCCCACCAAGGCUAUAACAGGUACGGGCUCUGAGAGGAGGGGCCCGGAGAUGGGUACUGAGACACGGACCCAGGCCCUAUGGGGCGCAGCAGGCGAGAAACCUUUGCAAUGUGCGAAAGCACGACAAGGUUAAUCCGAGUGUCUCCUGCUAAAGGAGUCUUUUGUCAGUUCUAGAAUCACUGGUGAAUAAGGGGUGGGCAAGUUCUGGUGUCAGCCGCCGCGGUAAAACCAGCACCUCGAGUGGUCAGGAGGUUUAUUGGGCCUAAAGCAUCCGUAGCCGGUUGCAUAAGUUUUCGGUUAAAUCUAUGCGCUCAACGUAUAGGCCGCCGAAAAUACUGUGCAGCUAGGGAGUGGGAGAGGUACACGGUACUCAAUAGGAAGGGGUAAAAUCCUUUGAUCUAUUGAUGACCACCUGUGGCGAAGGCGGUGUACCAGAACACGUUCGACGGUGAGGGAUGAAAGCUGGGGGAGCAAACCGGAUUAGAUACCCGGGUAGUCCCAGCUGUAAACGAUGCAGACUCGGUGAUGCAUUGGCUUGUGGCCAAUGCAGUGCCGCAGGGAAGCCGUUAAGUCUGCCGCCUGGGAAGUACGUACGCAAGUAUGAAACUUAAAGGAAUUGGUCGGGGGAGCAC
Molecule: ribosomal RNA, 794 nt
Filed under: uncultured archaeon
Lineage: Archaea
Description: bacterial SSU rRNA
Rfam family: Archaeal small subunit ribosomal RNA
Source: RNAcentral